AACGCUAGCUACAGGCUUAACACAUGCAAGUCGAGGGGUAACGAAAGGGAAGCUUGCUUUCCUUGUCGACGACCGGCGCACGGGUGAGUAACGCGUAUCCAACCUGCCCAUUACCACGGGAUACCCCGUCGAAAGGCGGCCUAAUACCGUAUGCAGUCGUCAGAUGACAUCAGAGGACGACGAAAGGAUUGGCGGUAAUGGAUGGGGAUGCGUCUGAUUAGGUAGUUGGAGGGGUAACGGCCCACCAAGCCAUCGAUCAGUAGGGGUUCUGAGAGGAAGGUCCCCCACAUUGGAACUGAGACACGGUCCAAACUCCUACGGGAGGCAGCAGUGAGGAAUAUUGGUCAAUGGGCGAGAGCCUGAACCAGCCAAGUAGCGUGCAGGAUGACGGCCCUAUGGGUUGUAAACUGCUUUUAUACAGGAAUAAAGUUAGCCACGUGUGGUUAUUUGUAGGUACUGUAUGAAUAAGGACCGGCUAAUUCCGUGCCAGCAGCCGCGGUAAUACGGAAGGUCCAGGCGUUAUCCGGAUUUAUUGGGUUUAAAGGGAGCGUAGGCCGCAAGUCAAGCGUGUUGUGAAAUGCAGGGGCUCAACCUCUGGAUUGCAGCGCGAACUGGCAUGCUUGAGUACGCACGAGGUAGGCGGAAUUUGUGGUGUAGCGGUGAAAUGCUUAGAUAUCACGAAGAACUCCGAUUG
This 694-nucleotide ribosomal RNA is filed under the name uncultured bacterium. Its description in RNAcentral is "bacterial SSU rRNA". It matches the Rfam family "Bacterial small subunit ribosomal RNA", at positions 32 to 715 of the family's 1533-position model. The record is from RNAcentral.